RNAcentral lists this ribosomal RNA (253 nucleotides) under uncultured bacterium. RNAcentral's name for it is "partial 16S ribosomal RNA". It matches the Rfam family "Bacterial small subunit ribosomal RNA", at positions 524 to 776 of the family's 1533-position model. The record is from RNAcentral.
UACGGGGGGGGCAAGCGUUGUUCGGAAUUACUGGGCGUAAAGGGCUCGUAGGCGGCCAACUAAGUCAGACGUGAAAUCCCCCGGCUUAACCGGGGAAUGGCAUCUGAUACUGGAUGGCUGGAGUUUGGGAGAGGGAUGCGGAAUUCCAGGUGUAGCGGUGAAAUGCGUAGAUAUCGUAAGGAAGACCAGUGGCGAAGGCGAAUCUCUGGACAGUUACUGACACUGAGGCACGAAGGCCAGGGGAGCAAACGGG